GGAGAGUUGGCAGAGCCCGGUUUAAUGCACCUGACUUGAAAUCAGACGAAGAGUCAAAUCUUCCAGAGGUUCGAAUCCUCUACUCUCCGCCA
Molecule: transfer RNA, 92 nt
Filed under: Brumicola pallidula DSM 14239 = ACAM 615
Lineage: Bacteria; Pseudomonadati; Pseudomonadota; Gammaproteobacteria; Alteromonadales; Alteromonadaceae
Also listed under: 3 other names
Description: Glaciecola pallidula DSM 14239 = ACAM 615 tRNA-Ser
Rfam family: tRNA
About the family: Transfer RNA (tRNA) molecules are approximately 80 nucleotides in length.
Source: RNAcentral